AAGGAUUUAAGUUAAAAAAACUGUUAACCUUCAAAGUUAAAAUUAUCUUAAAAAUAAGCCUUA
This 63-nucleotide transfer RNA is filed under the name Penthicodes atomaria. Its description in RNAcentral is "tRNA-Trp". Lineage: Eukaryota; Metazoa; Arthropoda; Insecta; Hemiptera; Fulgoridae. The record is from RNAcentral.